Molecule: signal recognition particle RNA, 99 nt
Filed under: uncultured Alistipes sp.
Lineage: Bacteria; Pseudomonadati; Bacteroidota; Bacteroidia; Bacteroidales; Rikenellaceae
Description: Bacteroidales small SRP
Rfam family: Bacteroidales small SRP
About the family: The non-coding component of the signal recognition particle in Bacteroides
Source: RNAcentral
CUAGGGUAAGUCUUAUACGACCAGCUCCUACAGACUCCCCCAGGUGAGGAAUCAAGCAAGGGUAUGUAGUUGAGCGGUGCGAUGUAAGUAGCUUACCCU